UACGGAGGGUGCAAGCGUUAUCCGGAUUCACUGGGUUUAAAGGGAGCGUAGGUGGGUUGGUAAGUCCGUGGUGAAAUCUCCGAGCUUAACUUGGAAACUGCCAUGGAUACUAUCAGUCUUGAAUAUUGUGGAGGUCAGCGGAAUAUGUCAUGUAGCGGUGAAAUGCUUAGAUAUGACAUAGAACACCAAUUGCGAAGGCAGCUGGCUACGCAUAUAUUGACACUGAGGCUCGAAAGCGUGGGGAUCAAACAGG
RNAcentral lists this ribosomal RNA (253 nucleotides) under uncultured bacterium. RNAcentral describes it as "partial 16S ribosomal RNA". It matches the Rfam family "Bacterial small subunit ribosomal RNA", at positions 524 to 776 of the family's 1533-position model. The record is from RNAcentral.